Molecule: ribosomal RNA, 300 nt
Filed under: uncultured Bacillus sp.
Lineage: Bacteria; Bacillati; Bacillota; Bacilli; Caryophanales; Bacillaceae
Description: partial 16S ribosomal RNA
Rfam family: Bacterial small subunit ribosomal RNA
Source: RNAcentral
CGUAUAGGCUGGCAAGCUACGCUGGUACUACGAGUGGCGUAAGCGUGUACCGGAAGUACUGGGCGUACAUCGCGCUUGGGCUGAUCAGCAAAGUUUACGGGAAAUACCCGGGCUCAUCCUGAGAACUGCCUCAAAAACUACUGAGCUAUAGUACGGUAGAGUGUAGUGGAAUUUCCUGUGUAGCGGUGAAAUGCGUAGAUAUAGGAAGGAACACCAGUGGCGAAGGCGACUACCUGGACUGAUACUGACACUGAGGUGCGAAAGCGUGGGGAGCAAACAGGAUUAGAUACCCGAGUAGUC